CUCCCUACUUUUCUCCACUUCCUGGUUGUGCGGAAGACGCACGUGUGUGUAUGUGCUGUGUUUUGUUUCAACAAUUGGGCAGCGGGGAAUGAUCGGCUCAUAUUAUCAGCCCGGGACAGCCCAGCUUAAAUCAGAGAGCUCCCACAAAGCUCCGACAGCUUCCUGUCGGACACAGCGAGAAGAUCCGGAGACCGAGCAGAGCUCUUCUUGGCUAGCUAAGAUCCACAAUGACGGGGGUGCGUAGAUCUCUGAGGUUGACUCUGUCCGAUGCCAGAGUUGAGGCUUUGUCAUCGCAGUCGGGCACAGUUGUCCUGGAAGAAGCCCCUCCAACCUGUGAUGAGGAAGUAUCGCGGCACCACGAGUCCUCUUUGGGACAGCGGAAUGAAGCAUCGGAUGAUCCAGCUGCAUCAGAGAGUGAUUCAGGAGACAGCCUCUUCAUAACUCAGAAUGUAGCACCUGAGACUGUCAGGUCACAGAGACAGCGUCGCAACACUGUUAGGUCAGAGCCGGCAUCUGCCACAGGUCUAGAGGACAGUGACGACAGCAGCGCAUCGUCUCACUCCAACACUGAAUCCAACACUGCCAGAGGAAGGAAAAGAAAACAAUAUAACCUGCCAGUGUUCAGUUUCUCUUUUCUCCAAGGGAGAGAGUCGAAGCCCAGGCGCAGGGCAUCAUUUGUCCUGCAGAACAGAGCGCUUCAUCAUUAUUCGAUGGGAGGCUUCUUUAAGUGUGUCAGAGAGCGGUGGCAGAGCAAUCAAAGAGAUGACCUGCAGUUGUCUUCACAAACAGAGGACAUGGAGGGGAGGCACAUAGCUCCACUGUCAGAAGGAGAAGAAGAAUGCUCAGACUGUCCGGACAUCAAAGUGGUGAAAAGGACUCGUUUUGUUGCACCUUCAAAAAAAAAGCACCCGCAACUGUGGUACACUCCAGAUAAAGAGGCUGGUGAUGGAAAACAAGAGAGGAGGAACGCUGGUAAUCCCAAACAAGAAACGUCACAAGAAAGACAAAGGAAAGUUUUGCAAAAAAGACCAGCUAAAGCACCUAAAUCAAGAGUUACAGCAUCGUCUUCAGACACAGACAGCUCCGAAAGCGGGGAGACUUCUCACAGAGGACUGGCAGAGAGGAAGACAAGUGAUAAACAAGUAACAAGUAAUGAGAGUGUCGCGGCCCAAACUGAAACAUCAGAAGCAAAGAGACGUCUCACCAGAGAACACAAAGGAAUUCUAGCUGAGGAAAAAGAGCGUGAGAAGACACUGUGUGAGGACAGUGAUGCUACAAUUUGUGAGGGUCUUGAACAGGAAAGUCCAAGCAAACGCACACUCACUGGCAGAGAGGUACCAAAUGUUACAGAGCCUCAAGUGGAUGUUUUCCAUACAGACAAUCUGUUGCCAACAGAACAGGAAGAGGACGAACCUGAAAGCCAAAGUCUUCUCCAAAGUCUCCCAGACCUUAUAAGUGACACUAAUGAUGAUGAGCUAAGUAAUGAAACAAGGGUGGAGAAGAAGAAGAAGAAAACAAGGGGAGAUCAUGAAAGUGCAGAGGAAGGGAACGGUCAGAGUCAGGAAGCGCCAGAGGGGCUACACUCUGCAGCAUCUGUAAAUAUGGAGGCAGAGGAGGCUCCCCAGCUGUUUGAGGACAAUCCAGCAGAGUUUCCAGCAUGGCAGACCAUUAAGAAGCCAACAUUUAGUGAUGAAACUUUAUCAUAUGAUAACAUCACACUGGCACAGGAGAAGACGUACAGUCCUGAUUCAAAACAAAUGAAGAAUAGAAAGAAGAAUAAUGCAGCAGCACGAGAGAAUGUUAUACAGGAGGUGAAUUUAGGAUCACCAUCUGAUGUGAGAUUUGAGGAGGAUUCUCUGUUUUCAGUGACACAUAACACGGUGAAUGUUAGGAAGAAAAAGAAAAAGAAAGAAAUAAGUGUUGAGGAUGUUGAACAGAUACAGUCCAGUGUCAUUUCAGAAUCUGUAACUGACUAUGGUGAGACACACAGGAAAAAGAAAAAAAGGAAAAAAGAAAAGAUGUUUUUAAAUAUGGAAGUGUAUCAAGAAGAGGAUGCACUGAAUGUGACGUUAGAAGAACAAAGACAUAGUUUAGGAAAUACUGGAGCUUCUCAGCGCCCAACAGAACCCAGUCCUGUAAAGAAAAGAAAAAAGCAGAAAGAGAAGCAGCUGUUAGCUUCUCACAAUGAUGCUGAAGCUGGAGCAGUAGAUUGUAAGGAUGUGAACUUCUCUAAUGAUGGAACCUCGGGAGGAAGUACAGGACAAGAAGUAAAGAAGAAGAAAGCCAGGGAAAGUAUCUCUGAAGGGGGAGCUGUUUCUUGCAAUCUUGAAGAAAAAGUUAAUGAAGCAGAAACUUCCCAGAAAAUAGAGGAUGGCCCUGAAAACCAAGGUGCUGAACUGUUGUCUAAGAAGAAGAAGAAGAAGAAGAAGAAAAAAAAAGAAGAGAGUGAAAUAAUUGGCAGAAAUGUCUCAGAAGAUGUAAAAAAAAACGAUGAUUCAGUGUCUGUGCAGAAAAAGGAAAAGAAGAGGACCUCUUCCUUCCUCGUUGCUGAUGCAGGGGAAAACAAUGCUCAAAUGCACCAGGAACAAAGUUCUCCGUGUUUAAAAUCUAUAGCUGCUCCUGUCUGGGGUGCAGAGAAGCCUGCUGUCAGCGCUAGUGACUUUGAAACCGAAUCAACAGAAAUCACUAGAAAUUCAGAGGCAGCUAAUGAUGGGGUCAGGAAAAAGAAAAGGAAGAGGAAAAUGUCAGUAGUGCGAGAGAGUAUGGAGAACGAUUUUGACAAACAAGACGAAACUUGCCAGAGUGUGAUAUAUGAAAUCACUGACCCAGGGGUAAAUACUGUAAGGCAAAAGAAAAAGAAGAAAAAAGUCAAAUCCCCUGAUGACGUUUUGAUUGAGGGGAAAUUGUCAGCUGAAUGUACAGAAAUGGAGACCCAAAGAAAAAAGGAAACAAGUGACCCCAGCUUCACAUUCUGCAGUCCUGUGUUGUUACAGUCUGAACUGUUUCCGUUGCACUGUAUCAGUAAAAGCAAGAAGAAAAAGCCCAAGAAGAACCUUUUUAAUACAAGAGAGGACUUCCUCACUGAUUGUUAG
Echeneis naucrates (live sharksucker) is the source of this 3092-nucleotide long non-coding RNA. NCBI's taxonomy places the organism in Eukaryota, Metazoa, Chordata, Actinopteri, Carangiformes, Echeneidae. The record is from Ensembl.